UACGGAGGGUGCAAGCGUUAUCCGGAUUCACUGGGCGUAAAGGGUGCGUAGGCGGGUCUUUAAGUCAGGGGUGAAAUCCUGGAGCUCAACUCCAGAACUGCCUUUGAUACUGAAGAUCUUGAGUCCGGGAGAGGUGAGUGGAACUGCGAGUGUAGAGGUGAAAUUCGUAGAUAUUCGCAAGAACACCAGUGGCGAAGGCGGCUCACUGGCCCGGUACUGACGCUGAGGCACGAAAGCGUGGGGAGCAAACAGG
Molecule: ribosomal RNA, 253 nt
Filed under: uncultured bacterium
Lineage: Bacteria
Description: partial 16S ribosomal RNA
Rfam family: Bacterial small subunit ribosomal RNA
Source: RNAcentral